This 628-nucleotide ribosomal RNA is filed under the name Methanosarcina sp. enrichment culture clone D12. RNAcentral describes it as "bacterial SSU rRNA". It matches the Rfam family "Archaeal small subunit ribosomal RNA", at positions 108 to 734 of the family's 1478-position model. The record is from RNAcentral. Lineage: Archaea; Methanobacteriati; Methanobacteriota; Methanomicrobia; Methanosarcinales; Methanosarcinaceae.
CCUGCCCUUGGGUCCGGCAUAACCCCGGGAAACUGGGGAUAAUUCCGGAUAACGCACAUAUGCUGGAAUGCUUUAUGCGUCAAAUGGAUUCGUCUGCCCAAGGAUGGGUCUGCGGCCUAUCAGGUAGUAGUGGGUGUAAUGUACCUACUAGCCGACGACGGGUACGGGUUGUGAGAGCAAGAGCCCGGAGAUGGAUUCUGAGACAUGAAUCCAGGCCCUACGGGGCGCAGCGGGCGCGAAAACUUUACAAUGCGGGAAACCGUGAUAAGGGGACACCGAGUGCCAGCAUCAUAUGCUGGCUGUCCGGGUGUGUAAAAUACACCUGUUAGCAAGGGCCGGGCAAGACCGGUGCCAGCCGCCGCGGUAACACCGGCGGCCCGAGUGGUGAUCGUGAUUAUUGGGUCUAAAGGGUCCGUAGCCGGUUUGGUCAGUCCUCCGGGAAAUCUGACGGCUUAACCGUUAGGCUUUCGGAGGAUACUGCCAGGCUUGGAACCGGGAGAGGUAAGAGGUACUACAGGGGUAGGAGUGAAAUCUUGUAAUCCCUGUGGGACCACCUGUGGCGAAGGCGUCUUACCAGAACGGGUUCGACGGUGAGGGACGAAAGCUGGGGGCACGAACCGGAUUAGAU